RNAcentral lists this ribosomal RNA (253 nucleotides) under uncultured bacterium. Its description in RNAcentral is "partial 16S ribosomal RNA". It matches the Rfam family "Bacterial small subunit ribosomal RNA", at positions 524 to 776 of the family's 1533-position model. The record is from RNAcentral.
UACGUAGGGGGCGAGCGUUAUCCGGAUUUACUGGGCGUAAAGCGCGUUAAGGCGGUUGUCAAAGUUGGUGGUGAAAUCUCAGGGCUCAACCCUGAAACUGCCUCCAAUACUGGGCGACUAGAGUGUGAGAGAGGGAUGUGGAAUUCCAGGUGUAGCGGUGAAAUGCGUAGAUAUCUGGAGGAACACCGGUGGCGAAGGCGACAUCCUGGACCGGUAUUGACGCUGAGGCGCGAAAGCCAGGGGAGCAAACGGG